This 75-nucleotide ribozyme is filed under the name Crocodylus porosus (Australian saltwater crocodile). RNAcentral's name for it is "Mammalian CPEB3 ribozyme (ENSCPRG00005010478.1)". It matches the Rfam family "Mammalian CPEB3 ribozyme". From Rfam's summary of the family: The mammalian CPEB3 ribozyme is a self cleaving RNA located in the second intron of the CPEB3 gene which belongs to a family of genes regulating messenger RNA polyadenylation. Lineage: Eukaryota; Metazoa; Chordata; Crocodylia; Crocodylidae. The record is from Rfam by way of RNAcentral.
AUUGCAGGUUCAAGGCCAUAGCAGAAGCGCUCGUGACGAGGCCUGUCAUAUUCUAACGAAUCUGUGAAUUCUGCU